AUGAAAAGGCGGAGACACAAAACGCCACGUUUGGCUCUCCAAGCAGCGAUAAUUUCUCCUUUGACAAAACCAGGAAAUUCCACCACCGUCUAUCGUUUUAAUCGAUUGUCUCCACCGUCAUCAAAGGAUUCACCUCCACUUUUUGCUUUGAGCCUCACUAACACAACUCCACUGAUCUCGUCCUAA
Vicia faba (fava bean) is the source of this 186-nucleotide non-coding RNA. NCBI's taxonomy places the organism in Eukaryota, Viridiplantae, Streptophyta, Magnoliopsida, Fabales, Fabaceae. The record is from the annotation of a GenBank genome assembly.